GACGAACGCUGGCGGCGUGCCUAAUACAUGCAAGUCGAGCGCAGGAAAUCAUCCGAACCCUUCGGGGGGACGUUGAUGGAAUGAGCGGCGGACGGGUGAGUAACACGUAAAGAACCUGCCCUCAGGUCUGGGAUAACCACGAGAAAUCGGGGCUAAUACCGGAUGGGUCAUCGGACCGCAUGGUCCGAGGAUGAAAGGCGCUUCGGCGUCGCCUGGGGAUGGCUUUGCGGUGCAUUAGCUAGUUGGUGGGGUAAUGGCCCACCAAGGCGACGAUGCAUAGCCGACCUGGGAGGGUGAUCGGCCACACUGGGACUGAGACACGGCCCAGACUCCUACGGGAGGCAGCAGGAGGGAAUCUUCCACAAUGGACGAAAGUCUGAUGGAGCAACGCCGCGUGAACGAUGAAGGCCUUCGGGUCGUAAAGUUCUGUUGUAAGGGAAGAACAAGUGCCGCAGGCAAUGGCGGCACCUUGACGGUACCUUGCGAGAAAGCCACGGCUAACUACGUGCCAGCCGCCGCCGUAA
RNAcentral lists this ribosomal RNA (524 nucleotides) under uncultured bacterium. Its description in RNAcentral is "partial 16S ribosomal RNA". It matches the Rfam family "Bacterial small subunit ribosomal RNA", at positions 28 to 523 of the family's 1533-position model. The record is from RNAcentral.